UACGUAGGGGGCAAGCGUUGUCCGGAAUCAUUGGGCGUAAAGCGUGCGUAGGCGGCCCGGUAAGUCCGCUGUAAAAGUCCAGGGCUCAACCCUGGAAAGCCGGUGGAUACUGUCGGGCUAGAGUCCGGAAGAGGCGAGUGGAAUUCCUGGUGUAGCGGUGGAAUGCGCAGAUAUCAGGAGGAACACCGAUAGCGAAGGCAGCUCGCUGGGACGGUACUGACGCUGAGGCGCGAAAGCAUGGGGAGCGAACAGG
RNAcentral lists this ribosomal RNA (253 nucleotides) under uncultured bacterium. RNAcentral's name for it is "partial 16S ribosomal RNA". It matches the Rfam family "Bacterial small subunit ribosomal RNA", at positions 524 to 776 of the family's 1533-position model. The record is from RNAcentral.